UUAUAAGUUUAUGUUUUGAUUUUUGUAAACUAGAUGUGGUUUAAAAGAAGGUUACAGAUGUGGUCAUUGAAGCCAUGAACGGACUUCCAACGUUCGCCACGAGUCAAGGUGGACCGGCUGAGAUAAUCACUGAUGAUGUCUCUGGUUUCCACAUUUAUCCCAACAAUGGUGAUGAAUAUGUUUCCAGGAUUGGAGAUAUCUUCAGCAAGUGUAGUACAGAUGGUUUGUAUUGGGAUACUAUCUCUAAGGCUGGUCCAAACGUAUCUAUGAGUGCUACACAUGGAAGAUCUAUGCAGAGAAGUUACUGAAAAUGGGAAGCAUAUAUGGAUUUUGGAGACAAGCGAAUGAAUUCAGAAGAAAACUAAGCAGUACAUUGACAUGCUUUACAAUCUCGAGUUCAAACAUUGACCAAGAAAGUGACUAUCCCGGAAGAUAAAGCUCUACCACUAAGAUUGGCUUAACUAUGUAGCCUUCUUCC
This is a long non-coding RNA of Raphanus sativus (radish), 478 nucleotides long. RefSeq lists it as uncharacterized. Lineage: Eukaryota; Viridiplantae; Streptophyta; Magnoliopsida; Brassicales; Brassicaceae. The record is from RefSeq and is a predicted model, not a curated record. The transcript has 3 exons.